This 440-nucleotide ribosomal RNA is filed under the name uncultured bacterium. Its description in RNAcentral is "partial 16S ribosomal RNA". It matches the Rfam family "Bacterial small subunit ribosomal RNA", at positions 338 to 795 of the family's 1533-position model. The record is from RNAcentral.
CCUACGGGAGGCAGCAGUAGGGAAUAUUGCUCAAUGGGGGAAACCCUGAAGCAGCAACGCCGCGUGGAGGAUGAAGGUUUUCGGAUUGUAAACUCCUUUUGUUAGAGAAGAUAAUGACGGUAUCUAACGAAUAAGCACCGGCUAACUCCGUGCCAGCAGCCGCGGUAAUACGGAGGGUGCAAGCGUGACUCGGAAUCACUGGGCGGAAAGAGCGCGUAGGCGGGAUAGCAAGUCAGAUGUGAAAUCCUAUGGCUUAACCAUAGAACUGCAUUUGAAACUGUUAUUCUAGAGUAUGGGAGAGGUAGGUGGAAUUCUUGGUGUAGGGGUAAAAUCCGUAGAGAUCAAGAGGAAUACUCAUUGCGAAGGCGACCUGCUAGAACAUAACUGACGUUGAUGCGCGAAAGCGUGGGGAGCAAACAGGAUUAGAUACCCUGGUAGUC